RNAcentral lists this ribosomal RNA (592 nucleotides) under uncultured bacterium. RNAcentral describes it as "bacterial SSU rRNA". It matches the Rfam family "Bacterial small subunit ribosomal RNA", at positions 337 to 929 of the family's 1533-position model. The record is from RNAcentral.
UCCUACGGGAGGCAGCAGUGAGGAAUAUUGGACAAUGGUCGGAAGACUGAUCCAGCCAUGCCGCGUGCAGGAUGAAGGUCUUAUGGAUUGUAAACUGCUUUUGUAAGGGAAGAAUAAGGGCUACGCGUAGUUUGAUGACGGUACCUUACGAAUAAGCAUCGGCUAACUCCGUGCCAGCAGCCGCGGUAAUACGGAGGAUGCGAGCGUUAUCCGGAAUCAUUGGGUUUAAAGGGUCUGUAGGCGGGCUGGUAAGUCAGAGGUGAAAGCGCUUAGCUCAACUAAGCAACUGCCUUUGAAACUGUUGGUCUUGAAUGGUUGUGAAGUAGUUGGAAUGUGUAGUGUAGCGGUGAAAUGCUUAGAUAUUACACAGAACACCGAUAGCGAAGGCAUAUUACUAACAAUUAAUUGACGCUGAUGGACGAAAGCGUGGGGAGCGAACAGGAUUAGAUACCCUGGUAGUCCACGCUGUAAACGAUGGAUACUAGCUGUUUGGUUUAAGGAUUGAGUGGCUAAGCGAAAGUGAUAAGUAUCCCACCUGGGGAGUACGUUCGCAAGAAUGAAACUCAAAGGAAUUGACGGGGGCCCGCACAAG